Macaca fascicularis (crab-eating macaque) is the source of this 907-nucleotide long non-coding RNA. The record is from Ensembl. NCBI's taxonomy places the organism in Eukaryota, Metazoa, Chordata, Mammalia, Primates, Cercopithecidae.
AAGCAGGCUCUGUGUCCCCACCCAAAUCUCAUGUUGAAUUGUAAUCCUCAGUGUUGGAGGGACCUGGUGGGAGGUGACUGGAUCAUGGAGGUGGACUUCCCUCUUGCUAUUCUCAUGACAGGGAGUGAGUUCUUAUGAGAUCUGGUUGUUUCAAAGAGGGUAGAGCUUCCUCCUUCGCACUGUCUCCCCUGCUCUGCCAUGGUAAGAUGUGCUUGCUUCCUCUUCAUCUUCCACCAUAAUUGUAAGUUUCCUGAGGCCUCCGCAGCAUGCUUCCUGUGCAGCCUGUGGAAUUGUGAGCCAACUAGCAGUGCGAGAACAGAUGAAUACAAAAGUAAGCCAUUCCAGGUCAAUUCCUUUCUCAAUAGGUGGGUUGGAUGUUGCACACUGGAAAGCAGAGACGUGGAAACCCCAGCAUGCAGGUCUUGUUCAUGCUCUCCUCUCACCUCCCCAGGAGCCGCGUGAGCUGGAGACUAUUGGCCCCAUUCUUACACGGAUGAGCACUAAGGUCCAGAGAGGUCAGAACCUUGGCCAGGGCCACACAGUGGGCAAGGAGCAAAACAGAGAAUUCAAAUGCAGAGCUUCAGACUCUAUCACCUACCCCACAGCAACAUCUCCAGUUACCUGGAUCCAGGCCCAGUUCAAGAACAUCCACGUCAGAGGGACAGAAGAGGUAACCGUCUUCUGUGCUUCUACAAGAGACAAGAAUCCAGUAGCCCCCCUGGGAUCGUCUAGUCGCUCCUUGGGUUUCAUGAAACUCAAGAGGGGCCCACAAAAUAAAUGGCAUGUAAGUGUCAGCUGUUACUGGGGCAUUUUGGCUUUUGGAAAACCUGGGAAUGAGAGUCAGCCGAUGUCGGAUCUUAAUAGCUGUGUCAUUGGCCAUGUGCAUAACCUUUCUGGGACUUCAUAG